AGGGCGGUUAGGAGCGGGAGCGUAGCGUCUGUCAGAGUGCGCCUGCGCGGUUUGUUCAUUUAAUUUUGUGCAGUUACAAUCUACAGAUGGGAUGUCUGGGUUUGAAGUCCAUAAAACAGCUGGGAAGCACUGUAGGCUGCAGAUCAGUGCUUAUACACUUGUGUCGACAUGGAAUGAAAGUAUCUGAGGCCGUUUCAAGCUCCUCUACAGCUUGGUACACUGUAGGACAGGAUCGCCUGUGUGGGUGUGCUUAACAGAUCAAAGCAGACAGAAGAAGGCGAGUCUUCUGGAACACAGAGGGAGAGAGUUCACACGAGAGAGUGUGCGUGCGUCUCUCAGCAUCUCUCCCAUCAACAAACACCAACAGGGGAGCUUUAAUGGACUUCUCUGCCAGGUCCACGUUGAUCCGAGUGGAUGUUGGAAUAAGGAGAAUCGCUCAGGGAGUCUGAUUGGAUCAGCUUUCCCAAAAUGAGUGAAGAAGCCAAAGAAAAAAGUAGCUCCAAACCAGCGCACCGUAAAAAGAAAGGCAAGAAGGCAGUGACUGAGACAGUCUCAGAGUUGCCGAGGACCCUGCUGCACUCAGGUGGCUGAUACGCAGGAGAAACCAACAUGGCUGCCGUCACUCCAUACUCCAUAAUGUCAAUGACAUCAGAAAGAAGCCGAGAGCUGUUGCGUGUAGAACCACGAUCAUUUUUCUCUCCUGUUCAUUCAUCUCUCAUGUUCCCCUAUGGGAAACACGUUGGGCUUUAUGGCCACGUUGAUUUUUGUUGUCCUUAAACAUGAAUUCACCCCA
Long non-coding RNA from Onychostoma macrolepis, 793 nucleotides. RefSeq lists it as uncharacterized. The record is from RefSeq and is a predicted model, not a curated record. The transcript is spliced from 5 exons. NCBI's taxonomy places the organism in Eukaryota, Metazoa, Chordata, Actinopteri, Cypriniformes, Cyprinidae.